This 253-nucleotide ribosomal RNA is filed under the name uncultured bacterium. Its description in RNAcentral is "partial 16S ribosomal RNA". It matches the Rfam family "Bacterial small subunit ribosomal RNA", at positions 524 to 776 of the family's 1533-position model. The record is from RNAcentral.
UACGUAGGGCGCAAGCGUUGUCCGGAAUUAUUGGGCGUAAAGAGCUCGUAGGCGGUUUGUCGCGUCUGCUGUGAAAACCUAAGGCUCAACCUUGGGCUUGCAGUGGGUACGGGCAGACUGGAGUGCGGUAGGGGUGACUGGAAUUCCUGGUGUAGCGGUGGAAUGCGCAGAUAUCAGGAGGGACACCGGUGGCGAAGGCGGGUCUCUGGGCCGACAUUGACGCUGAGGAGCGAAAGCGUGGGGAGCGAACAGG